This 393-nucleotide ribosomal RNA is filed under the name uncultured bacterium. RNAcentral's name for it is "partial 16S ribosomal RNA". It matches the Rfam family "Bacterial small subunit ribosomal RNA", at positions 523 to 918 of the family's 1533-position model. The record is from RNAcentral.
AUACGGAGGAUCCGAGCGUUAUCCGGAUUUAUUGGGUUUAAAGAGUGCGCAGGCGGGAGAUUAAGUCGGCGGUGGAAUUUUGCAGCUCAACUGUAAAAGUGCCUUCGAAACUGGGUUCCUUGAGUGUAGAUGAAGUAGGCGGAAUUUGUGGGGUAGCGGUGGAAUGCAUAGAUAUCACGAGGAACUCCGAUUGCGCAGGCAGCUUACUAAACUACUACUGACGCUCAGGCACGAAGGCGUGGGGAUCAAACAGGAUUAGAUACCCUGGUAGUCCACGCAGUAAACGAUGAUUACUAGCUGUUUGCGAUACAAUGUAAGCGGCUGAGCGAAAGCGUUAAGUAAUCCACCUGGGGAGUACGUUCGCAAGAAUGAAACUCAAAUGAAUUGGCGGGG